RNAcentral lists this ribosomal RNA (791 nucleotides) under unidentified microorganism. RNAcentral describes it as "bacterial SSU rRNA". It matches the Rfam family "Bacterial small subunit ribosomal RNA", at positions 51 to 850 of the family's 1533-position model. The record is from RNAcentral.
ACACAUGCAGUCGAACGAUGAAGCCCAGCUUGCUGGGUGGAUUAGUGGCGAACGGGUGAGUAACACGUGAGUAACCUGCCCUUGACUCUGGGAUAAGCGCUGGAAACGGCGUCUAAUACCGGAUACGACCUGCCCCGGCAUCGGGUGCGGGUGGAAAGUUCUUCGGUCAAGGAUGGACUCGCGGCCUAUCAGCUUGUUGGUGAGGUAAUGGCUCACCAAGGCGACGACGGGUAGCCGGCCUGAGAGGGUGACCGGCCACACUGGGACUGAGACACGGCCCAGACUCCUACGGGAGGCAGCAGUGGGGAAUAUUGCACAAUGGGCGAAAGCCUGAUGCAGCAACGCCGCGUGGGGGAUGACGGCCUUCGGGUUGUAAACCUCUUUUAGUAGGGAAGAAGGACUUCGGUUUGACGGUACCUGCAGAAAAAGCACCGGCUAACUACGUGCCAGCAGCCGCGGUAAUACGUAGGGUGCAAGCGUUGUCCGGAAUUAUUGGGCGUAAAGAGCUCGUAGGCGGUUUGUCGCGUCUGCUGUGAAAACCCGAGGCUCAACCUCGGGCCUGCAGUGGGUACGGGCAGACUAGAGUGCGGUAGGGGAGAAUGGAAUUCCUGGUGUAGCGGUGGAAUGCGCAGAUAUCAGGAGGAACACCGAUGGCGAAGGCAGUUCUCUGGGCCGUUACUGACGCUGAGGAGCGAAAGCGUGGGGAGCGAACAGGAUUAGAUACCCUGGUAGUCCACGCCGUAAACGUUGGGAACUAGAUGUGGGGACCUUUCCACGGUCUCCGUGUCGCA